RNAcentral lists this ribosomal RNA (546 nucleotides) under uncultured Pseudomonadota bacterium. RNAcentral's name for it is "bacterial SSU rRNA". It matches the Rfam family "Bacterial small subunit ribosomal RNA", at positions 27 to 563 of the family's 1533-position model. Lineage: Bacteria; Pseudomonadati; Pseudomonadota. The record is from RNAcentral.
GAUUGAACGCUGGCGGCAGGCCUAACACAUGCAAGUCGAACGGUAACAGGAAGAAGCUUGCUUCUUUGCUGACGAGUGGCGGACGGGUGAGUAAUGUCUGGGAAACUGCCUGAUGGAGGGGGAUAACUACUGGAAACGGUAGCUAAUACCGCAUAACGUCGCAAGACCAAAGAGGGGGCCUUCGGGCCUCUUGCCAUCGGAUGUGCCCAGAUGGGAUUAGCUAGUAAGUGGGGUAACGGCUCACCUAGGCGACGAUCCCUAGCUGGUCUGAGAGGAUGACCAGCCACACUGGAACUGAGACACGGUCCAGACUCCUACGGGAGGCAGCAGUGGGGAAUAUUGCACAAUGGGCGCAAGCCUGAUGCAGCCAUGCCGCGUGUAUGAAGAAGGCCUUCGGGUUGUAAAGUACUUUCAGCGGGGAGGAAGGGAGUAAAGUUAAUACCUUUACUCAUUGACGUUACCCGCAGAAGAAGCACCGGCUAACUUCGUGCCAGCAGCCGCGGUAAUACGGAGGGUGCAAGCGUUAAUCGGAAUUACUGGGCGUAA